UGGGUGUGCUCAGAGCAGCCUGCGGUGAGUCCCCUCUCAGGCUGUUUAUACCACACCCCAGAGAAUCCAAAUGCCGCUGCAUUCAGGAAGCAUCAAAGUUGGUGGCUUUCCUGUCCUAGCUGACGGCAUACAUAC
Molecule: small nucleolar RNA, 135 nt
Organism: Pelobates fuscus (common spadefoot toad)
Lineage: Eukaryota; Metazoa; Chordata; Amphibia; Anura; Pelobatidae
Product: small nucleolar RNA SNORA11
Exons: 1
Source: RefSeq, a predicted model, not a curated record